Molecule: unclassified non-coding RNA, 400 nt
Filed under: uncultured fungus
Lineage: Eukaryota; Fungi
Description: sequence contains ITS1
Source: RNAcentral
GGGAAGUCCGUCGUUGUGGUCGGCAGGCGGCACGACACGCCGAUACUCACGCUGAUACGCGCGGACGGGCAGACCGUGGAACCGAUCGGCACUCGCGUCACUCGGCUCGCUACCGGGCCACGACCGAGGAUCCAUACAAUUCGCCGCCGCGGAGACCGGCUUGAGCUGGCGUUCUCGAGCUCCGGGUCUUACGCGUUGCUGGACGUAAGCGCAUCGCGCCGCGGUCGUCCCCUACGGGAGCGUGCCGUAACGCAUGCUCCGCGACGUAUUCGGAAGACUUCCAUUCAGGCGCCCCCGAGCGCAAGGUACCUCAGGCUUGUCGGCGUUCGAUCGGACGGAACCCGGUCACGUGUCCUGGUCAUGCGGAUCGCCAGAUAGCGCCCCCUGGGAGCGGGAGUAC